This 128-nucleotide non-coding RNA is filed under the name Dehalobacter sp. RNAcentral describes it as "MoCo sequence". It matches the Rfam family "Molybdenum/Tungsten riboswitch aptamer (Moco RNA motif)". The record is from RNAcentral. Lineage: Bacteria; Bacillati; Bacillota; Clostridia; Eubacteriales; Desulfitobacteriaceae.
GAAUAUUAUUAUCUCCGAGCGGGAAUGCCUAAUUAUUUUUUGGCAGCCGGCCAGGGCUUUACAGCCCUCGGGGUGUAUUUGGAAACGAAUAUGCCUUCACUAUGAAAAGGAGGUGGCGAUCGAUGCUU